UACGGAGGAUGCAAGCGUUGUCCGGAAUCAUUGGGCGUAAAGGGUCCUGAGGUGGUUUGCUCAGUCCACUGUGAAAGUUCAGGGCUUACCCUUGAAAAUGCGGUGGAAACUAGUAGGCUAGAGUACGGCGGGGGCAGAGGGAAUUCCCGAUGUAGCGGUGAAAUGCAUAGAUAUCGGGAAGAACACCGAUGGCGAAGGCACUCUGCUGGGCCGACACUGACACUGAAAGACGAAAGCCAGGGGAGCGAAUGGG
Molecule: ribosomal RNA, 253 nt
Filed under: uncultured bacterium
Lineage: Bacteria
Description: partial 16S ribosomal RNA
Rfam family: Bacterial small subunit ribosomal RNA
Source: RNAcentral